CAUGCGUCACUGCACCCAACCAUGUACAUUUUUUAAAAAGGCUACAGAUGUCGUUCAGUACUUGAGUGCUUGCUAACAUGCUUAAGGCCUGGGUUUGAUCCCUAGCAUAUGUGUGUGUGUGUGUGUGUGUGUGUACAUACACUCAUAAAAUAAUGGUUCUUUGGUAGAAGGUAUUUUUUAUUCUUUUUAGUUGUACAUGACAGUAGAAUGUAUUUUGACAUGUUAUACAUACAUGGAGUACAACUGAUAGAAGGUAUUUUUAAACAAGAUUGGUAAAGUAAGGAUGGCCAGCACUGAACAGGUGUUUGUUGAGUACUUUAUAAGGACCAGGACCUUGAAUUAUGGAGGGAAAUUGAUCAGGGCCUGGCUUAUUACCUACCGAAGUCUAAUUGGGGAGGCAAGGUGUGAAUUUGUGAAGACUCCACUAAGCAUGGUGACAUGCCUUCACUAACCAUCAGAAUCACCUUGUUUAAAAUGCAGAUACUAAGGCCUUACAGCCUCCCUUCUUGUGUGUGGGGUUGGGAAUCUAUCAAAGGGUGGUUUGAGCUUCAUUUUGGAGGCUGGGUAUCAUUUGGAUGAGUGGAGGGGUGGGAAAGUCAUAAUCCAAGUUGACUGGAUGGCUGUUGAAUGAUGUCUGGUUAACUUAAGGAAUCUAUUUGGUUGGGAUUUUAGUAAUGGCAUGUGCAUGAUUUUGGUAGUUUUGGUAGGGAAGCCAUUUUGAAAUUGUAAGUGGAAUGGUCAGUUUGGAACAGUGGGUUUGGAUAGGAAUGCUGGGAAAGAAUGGCUUUGCAAUUAACUCCCUUUUCUUCCCUCUUUCUCCCAUUCCUCUGCUCACCUAUAUAUAACAUCUCAUUUCAUCCUUAUAACAGCACUAUGAAGUGGGUAUUAUUAUUCUUAGUAUUUGGAUGAAGAGACUUGAGGCCCUGACCACGGUUGCAUUGCUUGCAAGGCUGUUCUGAGUCUGGUAAUCAUCCUACUCACCACUGAGGAAUCUUGAAUGUGUGAAAGAAAUUGGGCUUGGGCUAAGGGCUUGUAGAAUUAGUGGGGUGGCUGAUAAAACCAUCUAAGGCAAGAUGGGAGUGGGUGGUUGAGAGCAUAGUGUGGGUUCAAAUCCCAGCUUCAUUACUUUCUAACUGUGUGACCCUGGGCAAUUGCUUGAUCUUGCUAAGCCUCAGUCUCCUCGCUUGUAACAUGGGAGCAAUAAUACCCACCUCAUGGGGUUGUUAUGAAGAUCAAUGAAGUGUACCUGGCUUAGAGCAAUUACUCACCACCUGGAAGCUAUUGUAAUUAGCCUUCGCAGAUCUCUGGGCUGUGGCUGUGCACCUGCAUCUCAUUCAUCAGCACAGUGGUUUCCAGGACACAGCCAUCCUGACUGGACUUGUUUUAAGGAUGACAUUGUGCAGAGAGGAUGCCACCAGUAAAUGUGUAUUGAAACCUACUGUAUGCUCAGCAUGGCCUAGGAACUAGUGACUCAGACUCAUGCCUAAUGGAAGGAGGUUUGGAGUGGGGGAUGGUUGGUGGUUUUGGCUCAUUUUCUCUGGGUGAUGAAUAAAGAGGAAGGAAGUUAAAAGUGGGGAGGAGAAGAUCCUUCAUUAUCAAGAACUGAGGUGAGCUUGGGCCUACUGGACAAUUGAUGGAUUACUAACAUGAUUUCCUAGGUCUCUUCUGAGCCCAGGAAAAUGGUAGUAGGGGCCCUACCCAGCAUAGAUUUCUUCCACUCUGGGCUGAGGGCUGAUGAGACCUCUGUCCUCCUCUAUUCCAGGUGACAGCAGCAUGGCUGUACCCCAGGCUUUCCCACUGGGGCCCCUCCACGAGCCUGUAGGUGCCCUGAUGGAGCCCCAGCUAUGUCCUCAAAGCUUGGCUGAGGGCUUCCUGCAGGAGGAGCUUCGGCUUAAUGCUGAGCUAAGGCAACUGCAGUUUUCAGAGCCUGUGGGCAUCAUCUACAAUCCAGUGGAUUACGCAUGGGAGCCACAUCGCACCUACGUGACUCGUUACUGCCAGGGCCCCAAGGAAGUGCUCUUCCUCGGCAUGAACCCGGGACCUUUUGGCAUGGCUCAGACUGGGGUGCCCUUUGGGGAAGUAAGCAUGGUUCGAGACUGGUUGGGCAUUGGGGGGUCUGUGUCAUCUCCUCCCCAGGAGCAUCCCAAGCGACCAGUGCUGGGACUGGAGUGCCCACAGACAGAGGUGAGCGGUGCCCGAUUCUGGGGCUUUUUCCAGAACCUCUGUGGACAGCCUGAAGUCUUCUUCCGUCACUGCUUUGUCCACAAUCUGUGUCCUCUGCUCUUCCUGGCUCCCAGUGGGCGCAACCUCACCCCUGCUGAGCUGCCUGCAAAGCAGAGAGAACAGCUUCUUGGGAUUUGCGACGCAGCCCUCUGCCGGCAGGUGCAGCUGCUGGGGGUGCGGCUGGUAGUAGGAGUGGGGCGACUGGCAGAGCAGCGGGCACGACGGGCCCUGGCAGGUCUGAUGCCAGAGGUCCAGGUGGAGGGGCUCCUGCAUCCUUCUCCCCGGAGCCCACAGGCCAACAAGGGCUGGGAGGUGGUAGCCAAGGAAAGGCUCAAUGAGUUGGGAUUGCUGCCUCUGCUAACAAAAUGAGUGUCCCCAGGGCCUGGCCUAGGACAGUCAAGGCCCCCAAGUCAUUCUUGCACAGGCAGAUGACUACACACCGCCCGGACUGGUGCAACAGGGCCUUCCUGGGCUUUCUGUUGCCAGGAAACAUGUUCUUUGAUCUGUUGAACUGUCCCCCAGCCUGCAGAGGCAGUCUCUAAUUACCAGGGUGAGUAGUUACUCAACUCCUGUUCACCCUCCUGCUUCCUGUGUCUUUGACUGUCCUUUGAGCAUUGCCCCUUUUGUCUUACAGUGUUGGCUCCACAGAAUCAGCAGAAGUAUUCUUUUUGUGAGACUUGUGAACUCUGAUGGAAAAAUGGAUUAACCUCUCUAAGUCUCAGGAUCCUCAUCUGUAAAUGGAGAUACCUCCCUCACGGGGUUGUUUGAGGAUUAACUGAGAAAACACUUGAAAGUGCCUUGUGAUGGCCUGGCACUCGGGUGCUCACUACAUAGCUUUCUUGCUUUCUGUCUGGGUUGGGCAGUCAUUGCACUACAGAGGAAACCCCUUUCCACUUUGAAAGCCUGGCUGGGGUCGGGAAGUCUUGCCUACCAGAAAUGGAUCAUGACUUUAUGAAAACCCAACCUGCCAUUCUUCAAUUUAAGCAUUAAAAGUUCCUAAACUCUU
Marmota flaviventris (yellow-bellied marmot) is the source of this 3229-nucleotide RNA transcript. It is a transcript of the gene named single-strand-selective monofunctional uracil-DNA glycosylase 1, with no coding region annotated. Lineage: Eukaryota; Metazoa; Chordata; Mammalia; Rodentia; Sciuridae. The record is from RefSeq and is a predicted model, not a curated record.